GUUGGGAAUCUUGCACAAUGGGGGAAACCCUGAUGCAGCGACGCCGCGUGGAGGAUGAAGGAUCUAGGUCUGUAAACUCCUUUUAUCGGGAAAGACUUAGGACGGUACCCGAUGAAUAAGGACCGGCUAACUACGUGCCAGCAGCCGCGGUAAGACGUAGGGUCCAAGCGUUGUCCGGAUUUACUGGGCGUAAAGAGCGCGUAGGCGGUCUGUUAAGUGUGAAGUGAAAUCUCCAGGGCUCAACCCGGAAACCGCUUCGCAUACUGGCAGACUGGAGGGAUGCAGAGGUGAGUGGAAUUCCUGGUGUACCGGUGAAAUGGGUAGAUAUCAGGAGGAACACCCAUGGCGAAGGCAGCUCACUGGGCAUCUCCUGACGCUGAGGCGCGAAAGUGUGGGUAGCAAACAGGAUUAGAAACCCCAGUAGUCC
RNAcentral lists this ribosomal RNA (427 nucleotides) under uncultured bacterium. Its description in RNAcentral is "bacterial SSU rRNA". It matches the Rfam family "Bacterial small subunit ribosomal RNA", at positions 354 to 796 of the family's 1533-position model. The record is from RNAcentral.